CCUACGGGAGGCAGCAGUCGAGAAUCAUUAACAAUGGGGGAAACCCUGAUGGUGCGACGCCGCGUGGGGGAAUGAAGGUCUUCGGAUUGUACACCCCUGUCAUGUGGGAGCAAAUUAAAAAGAUAGUACCACAAGAGGAAGAGACGGCUAACUCUGUGACAGCAGCCGCGGUAAUACAGAGGUCUCAAGCGUUGUUCGGAAUCACUGGGCGUAAAGCGUGCGUAGGCUGUUUCGUAAGUCGUGGGUUAAUGGCGCGGGCUCAACCCGCGGACGGCACAUGAUACUGCGAGACUAGAGUAAGUGAGGGGGAACCGGAAUUCUCGGUGUAGCAGUGAAAUGCGUAGAUAUCGAGAGGAACACUCGUGGCGAAGGCGGGUUCCUGGACAUUAACUGACGCUGAGGCACGAAGGCCAGGGGAGCGAAAGGGAUUAGAUACCCCUGUAGUC
This 446-nucleotide ribosomal RNA is filed under the name uncultured bacterium. RNAcentral describes it as "partial 16S ribosomal RNA". It matches the Rfam family "Bacterial small subunit ribosomal RNA", at positions 338 to 795 of the family's 1533-position model. The record is from RNAcentral.